This 494-nucleotide ribosomal RNA is filed under the name uncultured bacterium. Its description in RNAcentral is "partial 16S ribosomal RNA". It matches the Rfam family "Bacterial small subunit ribosomal RNA", at positions 38 to 507 of the family's 1533-position model. The record is from RNAcentral.
GGGGGGGGGGGGGGGGGGGGGGGGGGGGGGGGGGGCGGGGGGUGGGGCGGCUGCCUUGUGGGUGGGUGGGGGGGAGUGGCGAGCGGGUGAGUAACACGUGAGUAACCUGCGCCCUUCUUCUGGAUAACCGCAUGAAAGUGUGGCUACUCCGGGAUAUUCUGGGUCUGUCGCAUGAUGGGUCUGGGGAAGAUAUUGUUUCGGUUGGGGAUGGGCUCGCGGCCUAUCAGCUUGUUGGUGGGGUGAUGGCCUACCAAGGCGGUGACGGGUAGCCGGCCUGAGAGGGUGGACGGUCACACUGGGACUGAGACACGGCCCAGACUCCUACGGGAGGCAGCAGUGGGGAAUAUUGCACAAUGGGCGCAAGCCUGAUGCAGCGACGCCGCGUGAGGGAUGGAGGCCUUCGGGUUGUGAACCUCUUUCGCCAGUGAAGCAGGCCUGCCUCGUUUGUGGGUGGGUUGACGGUAGCUGGAUAAGAAGCGCCGGCUAACUACGUG